RNAcentral lists this long non-coding RNA (1294 nucleotides) under Heterocephalus glaber (naked mole-rat). RNAcentral's name for it is "lncRNA (ENSHGLG00100051906.1)". Lineage: Eukaryota; Metazoa; Chordata; Mammalia; Rodentia; Bathyergidae. The record is from RNAcentral.
UCAUGUUCAUGUUUGUAAUGAAAGUGAACAAAACCAAGACCAACAAGAUCUCAUUUUUUGCCACUACUGUCUUUUUUUAAAAAAAAUUCCUAUUAGUUUUAGUCAAGAAUGAGAGCACAGUAUUAUAGAAAACCUAGAUUUAUUUGUUAACCUAUUACAAAGACGAAACAAUUAUCAUCAGGAGUACUUUAAGGACCUUAUCUCAGUUCACUUGUUCUGUUACAGAAAACUAACCUAAGAAGGCAGAAAUCAAAGGAUAUAACCUCAGAGGCUAUAACAAAGCAGACUGGAAAAACAAGGUGGAAAGGACGGAAGCUACCCAGAAGCACUUUUUUAUGGUAGGGUAGGAUUUGCAAUUGGGAUGUUUCCCAAGAGACCACCUAGACAGGUGUGAAUUAAUCUGGGCCCCAAAUUAGUGACUCUUGCCCCUGUGGAGAAUGACAGAGACUGAUCCUUCUGAGACCUCUGCCCUUUCUUUUAGGGAUAAGGAUAUCUCUAGCCCCCCGCCCCCUCAUCUUAACUUUAUCCUAUUUCCUGCCCAAUUCCUGUGCAUUUUUUACCACACUGGCCUGCUAGCAUAGACAAUGCAUACAGCAAAGGCAGGAAUUACAGGCCUAGUCAGCGGGUUACCUAGACAUAAAGUUUUAGGGUAAAUGAUAAAUUACAAAUACCCCUUGGUUAAGCUAAUUCACCUUUGUUAAUAAAGGUCAUAGUUUCUUCUGCUGGUGACAACUUUCUGUCUCGGUAUAGUUUAUCUUGAGGAAGAACUGGUUUAAGUGAGUUUUGGAGAAGGAAAAAGACUUUCAUCAGCCUCUCUUCAGAGGGAAGAGGCACCAAGUUUUCUCCUACAGUUAGGAGCAGAACCUGAAAAACAAAAGGUUGGCACAGUGUUAAUAGGAACUGUCAUUCACUGAAUGCCUUGUCAAAGGUGCCAGAGGAUUUAAAUACACCUCAGGCCUUGCAGUAACCCUGCCAGGCAGUUCUUACCAUCCCCAUUUUUUAGAUGAGGAACCUGAGGACUAGAUAAGUUAUAAACCUCAUCCAAAGGCACAUGGUAGAGUGAUGAUCCCACUGUUCAUGUACUUUCCCCCUCACUCCAUCACACACACUGAGAAGUCCUAUUCCAUUAUCCAGAAAUUAUUAAUGGUUGCAUAAACACUAAUUAUUCCAUGUUCAUCCUUCAAUGGCACCCACAAUUUUAUAUGAUUAUGAGUUUACAGACAUUGUUUGGAAUUCAGGUCACCUACCCAGACGAAGAAUAUGAAUAAACUUUAUGAAAAAGUUAUUUCUUUGC